Long non-coding RNA from Rhinopithecus roxellana (golden snub-nosed monkey), 418 nucleotides. RefSeq lists it as uncharacterized. The record is from RefSeq and is a predicted model, not a curated record. NCBI's taxonomy places the organism in Eukaryota, Metazoa, Chordata, Mammalia, Primates, Cercopithecidae. The transcript is spliced from 3 exons.
CCGGACAGAGAGACAGAGGUGUGAGCACUGCCCAGGAGGCCGCUUUCGUUUCUGUGGGGACAUCGGGACCACUCAUCAGACACCCCCAGGAAGGCCACGUUCUGAGGUUCCAUGCGAUGGGCGGCGCCCGACUCCCCGGGGCAGUUCCGUGGGUUGUGAUGAUUGUUCCAGCAGCGUCUUCACCGCCCUCCGCGCAGCUCGCCCCGCCCUCCCCAGCGCCUCUCCUGGCCCCGGGCAGCCGCUUGUCUGCACAGCUCGGCGGAAGCUGAUUCCCAGGACGUUGCAAAGAAAAUGCAGACAGAACCUGUGCCCUCUGCUCAGUUCACACGGUCCCAGGCAGCCUCGGCUCCGACCCCGCUGGGCGUGGGGUGACCGGCUGUGCGGGUUCCGAGGGCACGGUGUGUGCUUGCCCGGGCCG